AGUGAACGCUGGCGGUAGGCCUAACACAUGCAAGUCGAACGGCAGCACAGUAAGAGCUUGCUCUUACGGGUAGCGAGUGGCGGACGGGUGAGGAAUACAUCGGAAUCUACUUUUUCGUGGGGGAUAACGUAGGGAAACUUACGCUAAUACAGCAUACGACCUACGGGUGAAAGCAGGGGAUCUUCGCACCUUGCGCGAUUGAAUGAGCCGAUGUCGGAUUAGCUAGUUGGCGGGGUAAAGGCCCACCAAGGCGACGAUCCGUAGCUGGUCUGAGAGGAUGAUCAGCCACACUGGAACUGAGACACGGUCCAGACUCCUACGGGAGGCAGCAGUGGGGAAUAUUGGACAAUGGGCGCAAGCCUGAUCCAGCCAUACCGCGUGAGUGAAGAAGGCCUUCGGGUUGUAAAGCCCUUUUGUUGGGAAAGAAAAGCAGCAGGUUAAUACCCCGCUGUUCUGACGGUACCCAAAGAAUAAGCACCGGCUAACUUCGUG
RNAcentral lists this ribosomal RNA (492 nucleotides) under uncultured bacterium. RNAcentral's name for it is "partial 16S ribosomal RNA". It matches the Rfam family "Bacterial small subunit ribosomal RNA", at positions 29 to 507 of the family's 1533-position model. The record is from RNAcentral.